This is a non-coding RNA of Elaeis guineensis (African oil palm), 1007 nucleotides long. Lineage: Eukaryota; Viridiplantae; Streptophyta; Magnoliopsida; Arecales; Arecaceae. The record is from RefSeq and is a predicted model, not a curated record.
GCGCCAUGUGUACCACCCGAGACUCCGGUUUCCCUCCGCCUAGCCCUCCUAUAUCUAAAGGCCUCCGGCGCCACCAUCCUCUCUCUAAGCCGCUCUCCCUGCCCCCCAACACCACCGGAAGCGAUGAGUAGCUGGCGGACGCUUCUGGUAAGGAUCGGUGACAAGUGCCCGGAGUACGGCGGCACCACCGACCUCCAAGAACACAUCGCACUCCCAGGGGCAUUCCCUGCUGUUGAAGCAGGAGCUGUCCGUGCUUUCUUUGACAAAAUUGCUGAUUUGGACAUGGAGUGCUGCAGUAGGCUCAUUUUAUGGUUUUCUCAUCACUUAUUCUUAGGAAUUGUCUCAACAAGACAUGCAAUCGUGUUACCGAUCUUAGGAAGGAAAUCCAAUCACCCAAGAAGAGUGUUCUAUUUGCUGAGGAAGCCACAGUCAAGGCUAUGGCGGAGUAUGAGGCUGCUGAGCCAAAGCUCGAGGUGGUGGAUGGUCAGCCUGUUCAGUCUGAAAAACCAGGAAGGUUAAAACGGCUUAAGGGGUAUGUGGAUAAAGCAAAAGAUGAUAAGACUUCCAUACGAGAAUCUUUAGAAGCUAAGGAUGCUCUUCUUGCUCGAGCACUUGAAGAAAAUAAGAGCUCCAAAGAUGUGCUUAAGAACGCCCGCCUCCUGUGUCUGCUGAUGGAAAGUUGCCCAAACUAAAGGCUGCUAAUGUAGAUUCCGUGGCUGUUGAUUCUGAGCCAUCAACUAUGGAGGUGGACCAUGAUGAUGGAAAAACCAAUAAUAAGCAAGGGAGCAGGAGCAGUGGUGCCUUUGCAUGUUGGGCUAUGCCAAGGCAUUUUCGAGGCAAUAUGCAAGCGAGGUUAGUCUAUCUCUUCAAAAAUAUCAGGCAAAUGUUAAAGGUUACACAUCUCCUAUCCAAUUAUUGUACUGUGAUUUGUUGUGGACAGGUGAUUGUCCUCUUUUUUUGUUUGUUUGUGGGUUGGGGGUUGGUGUGUCUGUGUUGGGUGGGGUGGG